GACGAACCGUCCAAACGUUGUUCGGAAUCACUGGGCUUAAAGGGCGCGUAGGCGGGUUAGCAAGUCUGUGGUGAAAUCCUCCAGCUUAACUGGAGAAGUGCCGUGGAUACUGCUGACCUCGAGGAGGGUAGGGGCAUCUGGAACUGUCGGUGGAGCGGUGAAAUGCGUUGAUAUCGACAGGAACUCCGGUGGCGAAGGCGAGGUGCUGGACCCUUUCUGACGCUGAGGCGCGAAAGCCAGGGGAGCAAACGGG
RNAcentral lists this ribosomal RNA (253 nucleotides) under uncultured bacterium. RNAcentral describes it as "partial 16S ribosomal RNA". It matches the Rfam family "Bacterial small subunit ribosomal RNA", at positions 524 to 776 of the family's 1533-position model. The record is from RNAcentral.